RNAcentral lists this long non-coding RNA (2736 nucleotides) under Zea mays. RNAcentral describes it as "long non-coding RNA (ZMAY_LNC002139)". The record is from RNAcentral. Lineage: Eukaryota; Viridiplantae; Streptophyta; Magnoliopsida; Poales; Poaceae.
AUGAAAUGACUUAUCUAUAAAUGUCUUUUAAAGGCUUACAACUCCAACUCUACGAUUUUCUAGAGUACCUAAUCACCUGCUCCACUAACUCCACCAAAUUUCCUAGAGCUGGAGCUAUCGCAAACAGAGCCUUAGUUGUCAAACGAUAUUAACUCUAAGAACUCAGUUCCUUGAAAAAAAAUGUGAAGUUGGGGUGAACUAUACCAUUUUGAUGGAACAUAAACACGGGUACUCCACAAAACUUGUUUUCAUAUGUAAACCUGGAGUUUAGAGCCAUGAGAGAAAAUAACAUUACAUCUCUCUUUCUUUUUUUUGCUUUCCUAUGCACACAAUUUUAUCUUUAAACUCAUUUUCUUCCUUGCAUACAUUGACUUCGGUUGUUAAGGAUGCCAUGCAGCUUAGCAUGGAGCUCGAGAUGCCUCAAUAUCAUAUAAGUCGCAAUGAUCGUGGUCCCGAUGAUCAAGAAGUGUCGGGUCACGAAUCCCGAGCAGACAACAAAAUCAACAACGUUGUCGCCUCCAGAAAGCAUCGUCUCCUCAUGUCACCCGUGUCGAACAAGAAGCACGCGUGGUCGACCCACAAUAAACCAUUCCCCACCCACCAAGUCCCCCUAUAAGCCAAACAGUUUGAAAACUCUAAAAACUUCGAUGGUGGAGCAACUCAAUGGUGGAGUUGGUGGAGCACAACUAAAAAUGGUGGAUCGGAGUAGUCGCAACCAUCACCUUAAUUAAUUUUAGUGUAUUAAAAGAAUUUGUCGAGUUUUGGUCUCAAUCAUGGUUUUAAAUAGCGAGCUAAAGGGUUUGGCGGCGUGCUUCUCAAAAGUGCAAAUAACAGACUAUAUCGGGAUAUAACAGGCUAUAGCGGGCUAAAUGAGGCUAUAUCACAUAUCUCGCCCUUGAGAAAACAACUAUGGCGGGCUAUAGCGAAGGUUAUAACCGUCUAUUUAAAACUCUGGUCUCAACACACUAAACUAUAUCCACCAUAACUGAUCUUUGUACAAACUAGCAACUAAAAUAAAACUGUUGUGCCGAUACGUGCAUCGUCCACUUAUCUCAAGUAAAUUCAAUGAAAUCAAUCAUUGAUUUGUUUUUCUCCAAAAUCUCAAAGAGCUAGUAAAGGGAAACCUAAAUAUGAAACUCAAUAAAUAUAUUAGCAGUGGAGAUAUUUCUGAACUAGUAAGUAGCACACUUAUAUAUAUAAUAAAGCCACAUCUUUCCAUCAUGCAUUCCUCCUCAUAUUCAACCAUUCUCUAGACAAUAUGGCAUGAUCAAUGUCAAAAGUGUGAGUUCAUCAGAAAUCGUAAAUCGACACAUAGAAAAAAAUAGAACCCAUCAUGUUUGGUGAAUUACUGUUGCCUUUGACGGCGCAAAUGCAAAGUGUAUCGACGACCUAGGACGUCCUGUGUGAGAAUAAGUACAACGUGGAUUGGUUCCUUUUUGUUCUUCAAUCUACAGUUGGGCACGUGCAUGAAUGGAUGUACUAGUUCAACGUGCCUUAACCUUGGUGAUCACAUAUUUGAUUGAAACCAUCAUAUUCAUGACAUUGGUUUAGAGUCCUAACUAAUACUAAUACCAAUAUGAUGGCACUAUAUAGUAUUGCAGAGCGAUUGCGACGCCAACCAGGUCAAACCCCGCAUACAACAUCGCUCGCUCUCUGACGAACCACGUGCAGAUCUCCAUAUGUUGCCAAUAGAAAAUCGUGUAUCACUAUGUUUAUCAAUAGACAUUAAUGUUAUAAAAUAAAAUAAAAAUGACGUGAAUUUUGUUUGACUAUGUUUAUCUCAAUAUUAAGAUAUCAAUAGACAUUAACUUAUGGUGUAUCACACUUAACGAUAUAUUUUUAGUUCUUAUUAAAGAAGAUCUUGCGUCCAAUGUUCUUUUUAUUGAUUGGAGAUUGUAUGUACCGUAGGGCGUGACUACAAUAUUUUUUAUUGAUUGGAGAUUGUAUGUACAGAUUUACAAAGCGAGGGGAAGGGGAAAGAGUGUAACUAUGUUACAAAAUGUUGUAUCCAACUUCUAAUUUUGUGUCCAAUACCGGGCUUAACCCGGUGACAUAUGUAGCUCAUCUCGGUCUUGAACAUCUCAUUGCAGGCUUUCACCGUGGGUGGUACAUCAUUGAAUAUCCAAUUAUUUCUACAUUUCCAGAUGCACCAAGAUAUGGUUAUGAUAAUUUCCAUUCUCCAUGCCACUUUCAGUCUUGCUCUAAUCAGCAAUAUUGUAGACACUAGAUUCACCGUUCGGGGCGGGGUGAUACCGAGUGUGAGCCAGCAUCUUCUAGCAAAGUUGCAUCUUAGGAGGAGGUGAAGUAUCAUUUCUUGAAGUAUCGUUUCUUCUCGUUGCAGUAUGCAGUUUUCACAUGUGUAGGAAUCCAGAGGCAUAGCUCGUCCAUUGUUCUUUAAAAUGAAAUAUUUAAUUAUAUCUUUAUGUUUAAUCUUCUCCAUAAUAUCAUUUUUCAAUUGAAAUUGUUGCUAAUCUGUCAAGUCUUUCUUGUGUCAUAGUACCAUGCAUGUAGGGCUUGAGGAACAUUAGUUUUGAAAACCUUCGUUCUGUAGAUGUAGAUAUCACACAGGAAUAACUGAUCUUUGUACAAACUAGCAACUGAAAUAAAACUGUUACGCGAGUACUUGCAUGGUCCACUUAUCUCAAGUAAAUUCAAUGAAAUCAAUCAUUGAUUUGUUUUUCUCCAAAAUCUCAAAGAGCUAGUAAAGGGGAACCUAAAUAUGAAACUCAAUAAAUA